RNAcentral lists this ribosomal RNA (584 nucleotides) under Typhlocharis sp. 3 aff. baetica CA-2017. RNAcentral's name for it is "partial large subunit ribosomal RNA". The stretch from base 342 to 500 matches the Rfam family "Bacterial large subunit ribosomal RNA", at positions 2473 to 2632 of the family's 2925-position model. Lineage: Eukaryota; Metazoa; Arthropoda; Insecta; Coleoptera; Carabidae. The record is from RNAcentral.
UUAAAUGGCUGCAGUAAUUUGACUGUACAAAGGUAGCAUAAUCAAUAGUUUUUUAAUUGAAAGCUAGAAUGAAUGGUUGGACGAGAUAAAAUCUGUCUUUAUUUAAUUUAUAAUAAAAUUUAAUUUUUAAGUUAAAAAGCUUAAAUUUUUAUAAAAGACGAGAAGACCCUAUAGAGUUUUAUAUUUAAUUUAAUGUAUUUAAUAUAGAUUUAUUUAUUAUAUAUUUAAUAAAGUAUUUUAUUGGGGUAAUAUAAAGAUUAAAUUAAUUCUUUAAAUUUUUUAUAUUUAUUAAUAUUUUAUAUGAUCCAUUAUUGAUGAUUAAAAGAUUAAAUUACCUUAGGGAUAACAGCGUAAUUUUUUUAGAGAGUUCAUAUUGAUAAAAAAGUUUGCGACCUCGAUGUUGGAUUAAAGAUUAAUUUAGGUGCAAAAGUUUAAAUGUUUGGUCUGUUCGACCAUUAAAUCUUUACAUGAUCUGAGUUCAGACCGGCGUGAGCCAGGUCGGUUUCUAUCUUUAUUUUAUUAAAAUAUUUUAGUACGAAAGGACCAAAUAUUAAUUAAAUUAAUUUAUUUAUUUGAAUAUUAUU